AUUGAACGCUGGCGGCAGGCCUAACACAUGCAAGUCGAGCGGAUGAAGGGAGCUUGCUCCUGGAUUCAGCGGCGGACGGGUGAGUAAUGCCUAGGAAUCUGCCUGGUAGUGGGGGAUAACGUCCGGAAACGGGCGCUAAUACCGCAUACGUCCUGAGGGAGAAAGUGGGGGAUCUUCGGACCUCACGCUAUCAGAUGAGCCUAGGUCGGAUUAGCUAGUUGGUGGGGUAAAGGCCUACCAAGGCGACGAUCCGUAACUGGUCUGAGAGGAUGAUCAGUCACACUGGACCUGGGACCCGGUCCAGACUCCUACGGGGGGCAGCAGUGGGGAAUAUUGGACAAUGGGCGAAAGCCUGAGCCAGCCAUGCCGCGUGUGUGAAGAAGGUCUUCGGAUUGUAAAGCACUUUAAGUUGGGAGGAAGAGCAGUAAGUUAAGACCUUGCUGUUUGGACGUUACCAACAGAAUAAGCACCGGCGAACUUCGG
This 483-nucleotide ribosomal RNA is filed under the name uncultured bacterium. RNAcentral's name for it is "partial 16S ribosomal RNA". It matches the Rfam family "Bacterial small subunit ribosomal RNA", at positions 30 to 506 of the family's 1533-position model. The record is from RNAcentral.